Molecule: long non-coding RNA, 759 nt
Organism: Cylas formicarius (sweet potato weevil)
Lineage: Eukaryota; Metazoa; Arthropoda; Insecta; Coleoptera; Brentidae
Exons: 3
Source: RefSeq, a predicted model, not a curated record
GGCUGAAUGACCUUAUAUAGUGAUGGCCAUUAGAAGCAAUAAGGAAGAACCUAAAUUUUAAUUGGUCGCAUUCAGCGGGCGUAGCAAAACGCUCCCGAUACAUAGCGACUGGCAACGUGUAUGUAUCUAGGGGUUAUUUUUUUUUUUGGGUGUUGAUUUUGAGAUUUACAUUUUUUUCGAAGGACCUACUACAUCAGAAAUUAGUAGAAAGGAUGUUAUGGACAUUUUAAUUGAAAACGAAAUGACGGAGGAUAAUAUAGUCAAAUGGUUUUGGAAUUAGCAGAACCAAUUCAAAUAUUCGAGGUUAAUGAUGGUGUCCAAUACCAAAGAAUACCAAGAAAAGACUGUAAGGAAUUAUGGGAAUUUAUUCAAUUUAUCACAUCCAGCAAGUUUCAGAGCAACGUGACAUUUGAAAUACGACACAUGGAAGUCGAUAUUGCAGGUGAGGUUGGAAAUGAGGAAAGGAACCAAAUAGCAAAUAUGCUCUUAUACCAAAUAAAAAUGUGUUCUCGAAUUAUUGCUCUUUUUUUUGUAAUUCACAGAAUAAGUGCAAAAUUUUAUUUCUUUCCUCCUGGAUUUUCUUACUAAGAGGUUAAUUUCUUGUAUUCGAGCUUCCUCAAUAUUUGUCAGCCUUCUUUGUAGAUAAAACAUUAAACUCUUUAACUUCCUAGCCUUGGUACUUCUAAAAUGAAAACAUGUUAUAAGCCUUUAAUUAUACAAAUAAAACAUCCUAUGGGGCAUAUACAUGUUGCUCUGAUU